RNAcentral lists this ribosomal RNA (446 nucleotides) under uncultured bacterium. Its description in RNAcentral is "partial 16S ribosomal RNA". It matches the Rfam family "Bacterial small subunit ribosomal RNA", at positions 338 to 795 of the family's 1533-position model. The record is from RNAcentral.
CCUACGGGUGGCAGCAGUCGAGAAUCUUUCUCAAUGGGGGAAACCCUGAUGCUGCGACGCCGCGUGGGGGAAUGAAGGUCUUCGGAUUGUAAAUCCUUGUCAUGUGGGAGCAAAUUAAAAAGUUUGUACCAUAAGCGCAAGCGACGUCUAACCCUGCGCCCGCAGCCGUGGUAAUACGGAGGUCUUAAGCCUGUUUCGGAAGCACUGGGCGUAAAGAGUGCGUAGGCUGGUUAGUAAGUCGUAUGUGAAUGGCUCGGGCUCAACCCGGGGACGGCAUCUGAUAUUGCGAGACUAGAGUAAGGGAGGGGGAGCCGGAAUUCUUGGUGUAGCAGUGAAAUGCGUAGAGAUCGAGAGGAACACUCGUGGCGAAGGCGAGUUGCUGGAAAUUAACUGACGCUGAGGCGCGAAGGCGAGGGGAGCGAAAGGGAUUAGAUACCCGAGUAGUC